GGGGGGGGGGGGGGGGGGGCGGGGGGCGGGCGGGGCGGGCGGGGAGGGCGGGCGGGGGGGGGGUGCUCGGGGGGCGAACGGGUGAGUAACACGUGAGUAACCUGCCCUUGACUUUGGGAUAACUUCAGGAAACUGGGGCUAAUACCGGAUAGGAGCUCCUGCUGCAUGGUGGGGGUUGGAAAGUUUCGGCGGUUGGGGAUGGACUCGCGGCUUAUCAGCUUGUUGGUGGGGUAGUGGCUUACCAAGGCUUUGACGGGUAGCCGGCCUGAGAGGGUGACCGGCCACAUUGGGACUGAGAUACGGCCCAGACUCCUACGGGAGGCAGCAGUGGGGAAUAUUGCACAAUGGGCGGAAGCCUGAUGCAGCAACGCCGCGUGCGGGAUGACGGCCUUCGGGUUGUAAACCGCUUUCGCCUGUGACGAAGCGUGAGUGACGGUAAUGGGUAAAGAAGCACCGGCUAACUACGUG
This 468-nucleotide ribosomal RNA is filed under the name uncultured bacterium. RNAcentral describes it as "partial 16S ribosomal RNA". The stretch from base 48 to 468 matches the Rfam family "Bacterial small subunit ribosomal RNA", at positions 35 to 507 of the family's 1533-position model. The record is from RNAcentral.